RNAcentral lists this ribosomal RNA (635 nucleotides) under Pseudoxanthomonas sp. M67T7. RNAcentral's name for it is "bacterial SSU rRNA". It matches the Rfam family "Bacterial small subunit ribosomal RNA", at positions 56 to 681 of the family's 1533-position model. Lineage: Bacteria; Pseudomonadati; Pseudomonadota; Gammaproteobacteria; Lysobacterales; Lysobacteraceae. The record is from RNAcentral.
UGCAGUCGAACGGCAGCACGAGAGAGCUUGCUCUCUUGGUGGCGAGUGGCGGACGGGUGAGGAAUACAUCGGAAUCUACCUUUUGGUGGGGGAUAACGUAGGGAAACUUACGCUAAUACCGCAUGCGCCCUUCGGGGGAAAGCCGGGGACCUUCGGGCCUGGCGCUGAUAGAUGAGCCGAUGUCGGAUUAGCUAGUUGGUGAGGUAAUGGCUCACCAAGGCGACGAUCCGUAGCUGGUCUGAGAGGAUGAUCAGCCACACUGGAACUGAGACACGGUCCAGACUCCUACGGGAGGCAGCAGUGGGGAAUAUUGGACAAUGGGCGCAAGCCUGAUCCAGCCAUACCGCGUGGGUGAAGAAGGCCUUCGGGUUGUAAAGCCCUUUUGUUGGGAAAGAAAAGCGAUCGGUUAAUACCCGGUUGUUCUGACGGUACCCAAAGAAUAAGCACCGGCUAACUUCGUGCCAGCAGCCGCGGUAAUACGAAGGGUGCAAGCGUUACUCGGAAUUACUGGGCGUAAAGCGUGCGUAGGUGGUGGUUUAAGUCCGUUGUGAAAGCCCUGGGCUCAACCUGGGAAUUGCAGUGGAUACUGGGUCACUAGAGUGUGGUAGAGGAUAGUGGAAUUUCCGGUGUAGCAG